GACGAGCGCUGGCGGCGUGCUUAACACAUGCAAGUCGAGCGGUAAGGCCCUUUCGGGGGUACACGAGCGGCGAACGGGUGAGUAACACGUGGGUGACCUGCCCUCAGCUCUGGGAUAAGCCUGGGAAACUGGGUCUAAUACUGGAUAUGACUCCACGGUGCAUGUCGUGGGGUGGAAAGCCUUGUGCGGCUGAGGAUGGGCCCGCGGCCUAUCAGCUUGUUGGUGGGGUGAUGGCCUACCAAGGCGACGACGGGUAGCCGGCCUGAGAGGGCGACCGGCCACACUGGGACUGAGAUACGGCCCAGACUCCUACGGGAGGCAGCAGUGGGGAAUCUUGCGCAAUGGGCGAAAAGCCUGACGCAGCGACGCCGCGUGAGGGAUGACGGCCUGGU
Molecule: ribosomal RNA, 392 nt
Filed under: uncultured bacterium
Lineage: Bacteria
Description: bacterial SSU rRNA
Rfam family: Bacterial small subunit ribosomal RNA
Source: RNAcentral